Molecule: RNA transcript, 3151 nt
Organism: Megalopta genalis
Lineage: Eukaryota; Metazoa; Arthropoda; Insecta; Hymenoptera; Halictidae
Source: RefSeq, a predicted model, not a curated record
AAAUUUUUUGCGCACAAUAUAAGACGCAGUUGGAAACGUGCGUUUACGUUAGAGGCUGUUAAGUCACGUUGCACGAAUCGUGGAUCUAAAAACACAUAUUCCACGUCGUGGCUUGGGAGACGAGUUUUAGGGGCAUCGCAUUCAAUUACGUUAGGACAAGAUCGGCAGUGUGAAACGUUCGUGCACCGUUAUCAAACGCUGUCAAAGCCGCUUAUCGGCAGAUUAUAUACGCGGCCGCGGAAACGAUCAAACGCGAAGGGCACCAAAAGUUUUGUGGUUUUUCGCGAGGAUCAUCGGCCAGCUUUGACCGCUGGGUAGAUGUCUCUCGGGCUGGUGCACGAAAACAAACUGCAAUUUCGAACGCAUUCUGCCGCACCAAGGCUGUCUAUCUAUAUGGAUUGUUGGCAGACGCAUCGCUCUCGAGCAAUGCAAAUAACCUUGCUCGAUUGCGCUAUGCGUUUCGUCUGAGUCAUAAGCAUUCGCGUCGAAAACGUCUGAUCGUGUGACGUUACGAAACAGAAACAAGCCGAGACUCGCACGGGUUGCGGGCUGUCAGCACGCGACAUCGAAGGCAAUCGCGUUUCUCGGCCGAAUAAACGAAAUUAUUCGAAUUUUGACGUACCUGCAUGCCUCGAGAGAUGAUUUUCACCCCGGCCUCUUCUACACACCCCACUCACAGAAAAACAUGGCGGCUACUGAAGCUUUGGUGCCCCUCCCCCUUUCGUUGCUGCCAAUUGGUCGGUUCUUGCACAAGAUUCGAGAUGCGUUCCUAAAAUCGUUCCUCUCAACACCGCUCUGUGCCAUAGACUAAAUAUCCUGUUAGAAAAAACAUUAGAAUUUAGGAAUGAAAUGUUUCAAACGACUUGUGAUAUUAAUUUUAAUCCAUUCUUUGCGUAAUUGGCUACGCUGGAUGCUUUUAUAAUUUUCGAGGAAUAAAUUCAUCGCAUCGCGAGAAGAGAGCAUUUCAAGGAAAACAACAAUUAUCCAGGCACUGACAUGUGUUACUUGCAGCGAAUUUCCUCCCGAUUCAGAACAUGGACAAUUUUCUAUACAAGAUCUGGCUUGGAUAAUGACAUCUUCGGUCCAAGCCGUUACAAAAACCAAAAUAGUGGAUAGAAAAGGCAAUAUUCCUACAAUAUAUAUUAGGGGGACCGGGAAGUUAUGUCGUUUGUUUACAUUAAAUUCAAACAGAUAAAUAUGCGCAGAAACGACAUUACUUUCCGGUCCCCCUAAUAGAACGCUUAUGAAGGGUACAGACAUGGUGGUAUCAAUAAGCAAUUGAUGUGAUAACGUUGAGACAGAACUUACAUUAAUAAUGGUUGUUACAAGACCAAUUUUGGAUUAUGUUAUAUUUUGCCACCAAGAAAAUCUUAGUUGGCCAUUUAUCGAAGGUAAAAGAUUGAAAGAAAAAUUUGAUAAAAUAUUUGACAAUGCAAAUUUGUGUCGCACAACUAUUUCUCGACUAGAGAAGAUAGAGAAAAGAAAAAUGAGAGAGAGAUCAGAGAAGACGAUUGAAGACUGCAAUAGAGAAAGUAGAGGAAAUGAAAAACGAAUUGGAACCUCUAGCACAGAGGAUUAGAAAUUUGGGAGAAAUAGGUACUGAAUAUAAAGAUUUACAAAUUCGAGAAAGUAAUUCCUUUAAAACAAUAAUGAAACUUCUUUCAACGGAGCUUAUAAGUUUAUAAUUGCAAUCUCUUUUCAAAAAGAAAGAAUGCAGAGUAUAACUUAUCUCUAAACAGCAAAUGGUAAGAUUAAAAGAGAAUAUAAAAGAAGAGUUUGUUAGUUCAGUGGAGGAAUUAUUGACUGAUAGAAAUAUAUGAUGAUAAACUGGAGAGAAAUGUUGUUACGAUAAAAGGAAAGUUCUACAUUAUCUCUCCACUUGUCCUUCAGCUUGUAAACAAAAACGGACAAUUUGGUAAGAGGGGAUACGAUUAUUCGAGCCUUGCGCCUCGUUUUUAUAGUUGUUGACAAUCGGCACAGACGACUAUAACGGAAUUGAGAACAAGAAGUCUAAUUCCGAAAAAAGAUUACAGUUGACCGAAGAUAUCAUGAGUGAUAUGAUGUAUGGAGAUGCAUUAAUGACGCAAUAAAACGUAGACGAUUGAUAGUUUCUAAUUACGUGUGAUCAAUGUAUUAAAUCAGAGCGCACCAUUGGAGAAGCUCGAAGAGGAAGAAAGGAAGAAGAAAGAAAAUUGGGAGACACUGGAUAUGGAUAGAAAAAUACGUAUGAUACUGUGAAGUGGGAAGUCAAAAUUUGGAGAUGAACGAUGUAAAGAAAGGACUAUCAUCUGAAGACAAAAGUAGUGAACAUUUAACACAGUUGCGAAAUAAAGCAGAGGGAAAUUCACGCGGAAAAUUAUAUAAUGAUAGUUUAUGUCAGAGGAAAAGAUCUACUGAGGAGACCGAGAACAAGGAUCACGCUGAAGCUAUAGCUUUGAAGAAGAGAUAUGUUCUUAAUAUGUAAGACCUAUACUCUACCUCAUUCAAUGCUUGCGGUUAAUUAAAACCAGACGUUACUUAUGAAAAAGCGCCUAACAUCCGUACCAGGUCCUCCACCAUACUAAGCCCAUGUGGGACUGCGAGAAUAACCGGCAACCGGCUUAGAAUUACGAAGCAGGUAGAGAAACUGCUUCUCCUCUGGUUGGUUGACGCUUCACAGCUAAACAGUGUUGCUCUCAUAUAUUAGACAAAAGGAGGGAGUGGCAUGCGAGCAAGAGAGUACGAUGUCGGCAUAACCACAAACGAAACAGGUCACACCGACGACCAAUGUCGACCAUUUUGUCUCACUUUACUAUGUUUGCGAUCUCACUCUAUUCGCGCAACCGUUUACCUGGUGCUCCAUUUGAAACACUUGGUGCGAUAUUCGACUUGUAUUUUUCAACACAAACUGUUUCAUUGAUUUAUUCGAUCGAUCUGUUCCGAACAAACUAUUCCAUAUAUUUAUUCGGACAAGCCAUUUUAUAUCUAUUUUAAAUAUUCAAACAAACUAUUUCAUCUAUCUUUUUAGACAUUUGAAUCAUAAAUGGGAUUUGUUAACAUUUUCUUCAUGGAAUAAACAUGCGUCUAAUAUACAAUUUUUCAAUUUGUAUGCUAUGAAGUAACGGUUUCGGGGAAGAAAGUAUCCAAACCGGCAAUAAAACGCUUAAUUAUA